ACCAACAUCCAUCUAUGCCCAGCAUCCUCCAUCACACCAACUAUAAAAAAAAACGGCAAAAUAGUUCGUAUUGUUCUUGUUUUUCCUUCUACAGGCAGUCGCAGGUUGCCGCACACGUAACAAAAUUCGCUAUUUUGCUGGAUACAUUCCAACAAAAGAGUGAAAAAUAUAAUUACUUCUGGAAACCUGCAUUAAAUUACUGACAAAAUAAGUGACCUAUCUAGUGGGGAGCAACCCACACUUAAAGCCGGGCCAAAUUGGAAGUCUCAUAGGGUCUUCUUACCGCCCUGAAGAUGCUCCUACGUGCGAUCGUUGUAGGGCCUAUGUAAUUGAUCCUACGCUACCUUUCCAGAGAAAUUGAUAGAAGACUAGGAAUAAAUAAGGAUGCCCUAUGCAGCCAAUAUCACUUUUGGGUAAACAUAAUCGUAGAUUUAAAUAAAGUUAUAUGUUGGUUAUAAAAGCAAAGGAAAAUAAAGUUACAAAUCUAAUAAAGAUCUGGUUUUGGUACGAGUGAAUAUCGAAUUCAUUGUUGGUAAGGUGGGUUUGUUGGAUAGGAGUGGCAUGCAUCGGAUACUGAUUAAGUGUUUUUGUACCAAAGUACCACUUAACCAAUUUCAUUUUAACGACCAGAUUGCUGGGCUUUCAAAUAAUGGAAA
This is a long non-coding RNA of Episyrphus balteatus (marmalade hoverfly), 656 nucleotides long. RefSeq lists it as uncharacterized. NCBI's taxonomy places the organism in Eukaryota, Metazoa, Arthropoda, Insecta, Diptera, Syrphidae. The record is from RefSeq and is a predicted model, not a curated record. The transcript is spliced from 3 exons.